This is a long non-coding RNA of Drosophila nasuta, 863 nucleotides long. RefSeq lists it as uncharacterized. NCBI's taxonomy places the organism in Eukaryota, Metazoa, Arthropoda, Insecta, Diptera, Drosophilidae. The record is from RefSeq and is a predicted model, not a curated record. The transcript has 3 exons.
GAAAAUUUGUAUCACAAAAUAUAUUACAAAAUAGAGUUAAAAUACCAAAGGUUAAGAAAAGAAAAACAAGAACGAGAUCCUUGAGAGACAGAAAGCAUACUCAGAAAAGAAAAAAAAAUGCAUUUGACAUAACAAAUAUUAAUGCGGGAUCGAAACUAAUUCCCGCCGCGUAAAUUAUAUCCAAAGUGAAAUGACUGUAGAUAUUAUUGUAUGAACCCAAAUGAUGAGCGGACGGAUCAUCUCGGCUGUUGACGCGGAUCAAGAAAAUAUAUACUUUAUAUGGCCUUCUUCUGCCUGUUAGAUACAUUUCGUGCCGGCACAAAAUUUAAAAAAAUAAAAUAUUGAAGAGUAUACAAGACAGCGAGUCACCUUGUCUGAGGGCACACUUGGUAGUAAACGUUUCGGAUUCGCCACAUCCUACCUUGACAGAGCUGAUGGUGUUGCUCAAUGUCAUUCUGCAAAGUCUAGUCAGCUUUGCUGGUAUACCAAGCUCAGACAUGGCGGCAUAUAGGCGAUCUCGCCGCGGGCUAUCAAAUGCGGCUUUGUAGUCGACGAAGAGAUGGUACGUGUCGAUCUGGUUUUCGUAAGACUUCUCCAGGAUUUGGCGCAAGGUGAAAAUCUGGUCAACAGUGGACUUGCCAGGCCUGAACCCGCACUGAAAAGGUCCAAUCAGUGCUUCAGCAUGGGUUUUAGUCUUUCACACAAUACGCUCGUUAGGACCUUGUAUGCAAUUGGAAGAAGACUAAUUCCGCGGUAGUUGGUGAGCACCGUGGCAUCACCCUUCUUCAGGAUGGGACAGAUCAUGCUGAGGUUCCAAUCUUCGGGCAUGCUCUCCGUGAGCCAUAUCUUACUGAUUAGUUGGU